Regulatory RNA element from Mitsuaria sp. 7, 83 nucleotides. It matches the Rfam family "SucA RNA motif". NCBI's taxonomy places the organism in Bacteria, Pseudomonadati, Pseudomonadota, Betaproteobacteria, Burkholderiales, Sphaerotilaceae. The record is from Rfam.
UCGCAAUCCGCCAACCGGUCAAGCCGUGUCGCGGAAGGUUCAUAACCAGCCGAUAGCUCCGGAAGCCGGGGCAGAGGUGAGCG